This 607-nucleotide long non-coding RNA is filed under the name Cicer arietinum (chickpea). Its description in RNAcentral is "long non-coding RNA (CARI_LNC001595)". Lineage: Eukaryota; Viridiplantae; Streptophyta; Magnoliopsida; Fabales; Fabaceae. The record is from RNAcentral.
AGUUGAUGCUCUCCAAACAGCUCUUCAGGAUUCAACACGCUCCACUUCUACUCAAUUUAUGUCUCAUGUUAAACCAGAUUUGAAUGAGUAUCCAAAACCUGAAGAUUAAUUAAUAUUCGCUUCACUUUCAGGAUUAAUAUUAUUCAUACUCUCUCUAUCUAAUCUCUAAUAUCCAUCCAUCAAUCAACCAAAUAUUUUGUUAUGAUGGGGAUUCUAUUGUAACUUGCAAUUUCCGCUACUAUAUUAUUACUAUUUAUUAUCUUCUUUUGUUACAAUUGUUAACAGAGCAUAUAUACAUAGGAAGAGUUAAUAGACCCUAGCUUGUCAUAAAUCAGUGUAACCUACUUUUAAUUAUGGUGAAGCAAUAAGUCUUAAUUUAAAGUGAUGGUCAUUUUGAUUAAUUUCUUAAAAAUUUAUUACUAACCGCCAUCAAUUUAAUUCUCAACUUGUAUAUGAAUUAGUACAAGCUAAGUCUGGUGUUUCCGAUUUGUAACAUCGGGUCAUUUUUGGCUGGACCUAAAUGAAUGAUGAUCGAAUCAAAAUAACCAUCUUUUGUUGAUUGAUAUUUUUUCUAACUUAAUUUGUGUCGUGUGUGUAUGUAUAUAAG